GACGAACGCUGGCGGCGUGCUUAACACAUGCAAGUCGAACGGAAAGACCCUGCUUUUGUGGGGUGCUCGAGUGGCGAACGGGUGAGUAACACGUGAGUAACCUGCCCUUGACUUUGGGAUAACUUCAGGAAACUGGGGCUAAUACCGGAUAGGAGCUCCUGCUGCAUGGUGGGGGUUGGACAGUUUCGGCGGUUGGGGAUGGACUCGCGGCUUAUCAGCUUGUUGGUGGGGUAGUGGCUUACCAAGGCUUUGACGGGUAGCCGGCCUGAGAGGGUGACCAGCCACAUUGGGACUGAGAUACGGCCCAGACUCCUACGUGAGGCAGCAGGGGGGAAUAUUGCACAAUGGGCGGAAGCCUGAUGCAGCAACGCCGCGUGCGGGAUGACGGCCUUCGGGUUGUAAACCGCUUUCGCCUGUGACGAAGCGUGAGUGACGGUAAUGGGUAAAGAAGCACCGGCUAACUACGUG
This 468-nucleotide ribosomal RNA is filed under the name uncultured bacterium. RNAcentral describes it as "partial 16S ribosomal RNA". It matches the Rfam family "Bacterial small subunit ribosomal RNA", at positions 28 to 507 of the family's 1533-position model. The record is from RNAcentral.